AUUGAACGCUGGCGGCAUGCUUUACACAUGCAAGUCGGACGGCAACGGGGGUGCUUGCACCUGCCGGCGAGUGGCGAACGGGUGAGUAACAUAUUGGAAUGUACCGAGUAGUGGGGGAUAACCAAUCGAAAGAUUGGCUAAUACCGCAAACCUCCGGAGGGGGAAAGCAGGGGAUCUUCGGACCUUGCGCUAUUUGAGCAGCCAAUAUCUGAUUAGCUAGUUGGUGGGGUAAAGGCCCACCAAGGCGACGAUCAGUAGCGGGUCUGAGAGGAUGAUCCGCCACACUGGGACUGAGACACGGCCCAGACUCCCACGGGAGGCAGCAGUGGGGAAUUUUGGACAAUGGGGGCAACCCUGAUCCAGCCAUGCCGCGUGUCUGAAGAAGGCCUUCGGGUUGUAAAGGACUUUUGUUAGGGAAGAAAAGGGAAGUGCUAAUACCACUUUUUGCUGACGGUACCUAAAGAAUAAGCACCGGCUAACUACGUGCCAGCAGCCGCGGUAAUACGUAGGGUGCGAGCGUUAAUCGGAAUUACUGGGCGUAAAGCGAGCGCAGACGGUUACUUAAGCAGGAUGUGAAAUCCCCGGGCUCAACCUGGGAACUGCGUUCUGAACUGGGUAGCUAGAGUAUGUCAGAGGGGGGUAGAAUUCCACGUGUAGCAGUGAAAUGCGUAGAGAUGUGGAGGAAUACCGAUGGCGAAGGCAGCCCCCUGGGAUAAUACUGACGUUCAUGCUCGAAAGCGUGGGUAGCAAACAGG
This 755-nucleotide ribosomal RNA is filed under the name uncultured Neisseriaceae bacterium. Its description in RNAcentral is "bacterial SSU rRNA". It matches the Rfam family "Bacterial small subunit ribosomal RNA", at positions 28 to 776 of the family's 1533-position model. The record is from RNAcentral. Lineage: Bacteria; Pseudomonadati; Pseudomonadota; Betaproteobacteria; Neisseriales; Neisseriaceae.